Paramuricea clavata is the source of this 326-nucleotide non-coding RNA. The record is from the annotation of a GenBank genome assembly. Lineage: Eukaryota; Metazoa; Cnidaria; Anthozoa; Malacalcyonacea; Plexauridae.
UUUUUUUCUCAGUGGUCAAAACCUCUAUAUAACACUUAUGUUUAUUUAAUAAAUUUAAUAAUUAUUGCACAGCUUUCGAUUCGAAAUCCCAAGAGGACGCGUGAAUGAAACAAAUUUGGUCUCAAAAUGCGUUGUUUUUUCUAAAGGAAAAGAUGUUUAAUUGAAUAGGAUUUAAAUAUUUUUUCUUCUUUUCAGACACAGUCGACAACAGCCGACGAAGACCAACAUGAGUAAUAUGCGUUACAUUAUUUUCAUGUUCGGCACACUUUAUACUUGAAAUGUGAAUUUAUGAUAUUUGAUAAUUAUUUGUAUAUAUGUAUAAGGGG